RNAcentral lists this ribosomal RNA (253 nucleotides) under uncultured bacterium. RNAcentral describes it as "partial 16S ribosomal RNA". It matches the Rfam family "Bacterial small subunit ribosomal RNA", at positions 524 to 776 of the family's 1533-position model. The record is from RNAcentral.
UACGAAGGGGGCUAGCGUUGCUCGGAAUCACUGGGCGUAAAGCGCACGUAGGCGGCUUUCUAAGUCAGGGGUGAAAUCCUGGAGCUCAACUCCAGAACUGCCUUUGAUACUGGAGAGCUUGAGUCCGGAAGAGGUGAGUGGAACUCCGAGUGUAGAGGUGAAAUUCGUAGAUAUUCGGAAGAACACCAGUGGCGAAGGCGGCUCACUGGUCCGGUACUGACGCUGAGGUGCGAAAGCGUGGGGAUCAAACAGG